CCCUUUGCUUGGCCUUGGUGACGGUCGUCUGCCUCCCUCUAGGCCUGUCUUGCUGCCUGUCCUGGGGCAGCUCUGGCAUCGCACUGACCGCACCUGGCUGGGACAACGGUGGCUCGCCCUUCCUGACCUAUGCCGGCUUCACCCAUCUGAAUGGGCCCAGCUUUGGCUGAAGCCCGGGGGAGAUAACUUUGAGAAAUGGAAAUUCCAGAAAGUUGGGGAAAUAUUUUAACAAACAGUAGAAUCAGUUUGCAUUUGAGUUGCUGAGAAAUGGGGAAGUUGACUUUCCUGGCCAUGGGAGUUCGCGGAGUGAUAUCACCAAGAGAACUUAGAGAGCGGGUCCAAGUUGUCUAAGGCGCGAUCUUAGGAAUGGAAAACAACGAUGCGGUCGGUUGGAAAGGGUCAUAAAUAAACCCCAGUGGGCAGUCCUAACAAGCACAGCCUCAGCAGUGAAGGAAGUUGAAAACACAACCGCCCAACUGCAAGCAGCCAGCCCGUCGCUGGAGGAGAGAGAGGAGCCAGGAUUCCCGAUUCCCAGUCUAGUUCUCAUUUUAUAAACUUGAUCCUAUGUCAUAUGAGUCAACCUUAAAGAUCAACCUGGAAGCCAUACUGAAGAAGGACUGGAGGAGCAGGCCCAGGAAGACAUCUCACUCUCCUGCUCAAAAUCUCCCAAGAGAGUAAAAGAAACUCCAGGCUUCUCAUCACUGCCCAGAAGGGCCCUGUCUGCUUCUCCAUGGCUUCUUGGAGGGUCAUCCUUGUCUUAUUCACCAACAUGUCCCUAGACCUGAAUGAAUGAAUGAAUGAUGACACAUCAAACAAGAGCUGAUAAGGGCCUGAACUAAGGCAGGGAAUGGGGAGGAGGGGACAGAAUAAAG
This 872-nucleotide long non-coding RNA is filed under the name Equus caballus (horse). RNAcentral describes it as "lncRNA (ENSECAG00000056546.1)". The record is from RNAcentral. Lineage: Eukaryota; Metazoa; Chordata; Mammalia; Perissodactyla; Equidae.